GCCACGGUGGUCUAGCGGUCAGAACGCUGGCCUUGUAAUCCUGGGGUCUCGGGUUCUAUUCCCGGCGGUGCCC
This is a non-coding RNA of Zootermopsis nevadensis, 73 nucleotides long. The record is from Rfam. Lineage: Eukaryota; Metazoa; Arthropoda; Insecta; Blattodea; Termopsidae.